UACGGAGGGGGCUAGCGUUAUUCGGAAUUACUGGGCGUAAAGCGCACGUAGGCGGACUGAAAAGUCAGAGGUGAAAUCCCAGAGCUCAACUUUGGAACUGCCUUUGAAACUCUCAGUCUUGAGGUCGAGAGAGGUGAGUGGAAUUCCGAGUGUAGAGGUGAAAUUCGUAGAUAUUCGGAGGAACACCAGUGGCGAAGGCGGCUCACUGGCUCGAUACUGACGCUGAGGUGCGAAAGCGUGGGGAGCAAACAGG
This 253-nucleotide ribosomal RNA is filed under the name uncultured bacterium. RNAcentral's name for it is "partial 16S ribosomal RNA". It matches the Rfam family "Bacterial small subunit ribosomal RNA", at positions 524 to 776 of the family's 1533-position model. The record is from RNAcentral.